Molecule: non-coding RNA, 27 nt
Filed under: Mus musculus (house mouse)
Lineage: Eukaryota; Metazoa; Chordata; Mammalia; Rodentia; Muridae
Source: RNAcentral
UAAGUCCUGCCUAAGCCUGUCUAUCUG